CAUCUCAACAUUCUCCGGAUUCAGAUGUGAGCCAUUAACUGACUUCAUCCCUCCAACAGAAACCAACUGUUUGAGGUUCUAUCUCAACAUUCUCUAGAUUCAGAUGACAGCCAUAAACCGACUUCAUCCCUCCAACAGAUUGACAGCAGGACAAAUCGCUGGAAGUGGGUAUGUCUCAAGCUUCUUCCACUUGGUCCACUCCAAAGCGGGCUGCAAAGGGGAAGAAGUGGAAGCAGUUGAAUGACACAUGUUGCAUUUUGUAACUGGCAACAAAGUACCAGGUAAAAAAGAUUGUGAAGCCUGCCUCCAUAAAGAACUAGUAGCUCUACAGGACAGAGAUUGGCUUGCCAUCAAGUACUACAUCCAUAACAGAAUUAUAUUAAAAAAAGGGAAAAAAAAUGUUUUCCCACAUCUUCUGUGGUAGUUUGAGUAUGUUACCAGCAAUUAAAAAAGCAAAAUAAACAGCAA
This is a long non-coding RNA of Nerophis ophidion (straightnose pipefish), 468 nucleotides long. RefSeq lists it as uncharacterized. The transcript is spliced from 4 exons. The record is from RefSeq and is a predicted model, not a curated record. NCBI's taxonomy places the organism in Eukaryota, Metazoa, Chordata, Actinopteri, Syngnathiformes, Syngnathidae.